Molecule: long non-coding RNA, 290 nt
Filed under: Callithrix jacchus (white-tufted-ear marmoset)
Lineage: Eukaryota; Metazoa; Chordata; Mammalia; Primates; Cebidae
Description: lncRNA (ENSCJAG00000076080.1)
Source: RNAcentral
AAUGUGAAGGAGCUGAAUAAGGAAGGACCAGAUGACUGACUCAUGGGGUCUGGUUGAAGUAGAUGAAGGUGAGCCAUUUGAAGUGCUUUGCAGCUGAAGUUAAGACCGGAAAAAAAGUCAAUUCAAGUUUCAGAAGUUCUUACUGACACAUCUUCAAGCUCAAAGGUUUUCUUCUCAGCUAUGUCCAGUCUACAAAUGAGCACAUCCAAGGCAUUCUGCAUUUCUGUUACAGAGUUUUAAAAUCUCUAGCAUUUUUUUUGUUUCUUUUAUAGAAUUUCUGUCUUUGUUUA